UUGUAGUGGAUAUCACAAAAACAGACCUGCAAUCUUAAAAAACUACAGGGGAAUAUGCCGCGGUUGUAACCUGAACCGCGGCAUAUAGUGUUUCGUUUUAAUUUUUUUUUUAAAAAAAAUAGGCAUAUGGCCGCGGUUAGUGCAAGAACCGCGGUAUAUAACUAGGUCUUUUGUCGCGGUUGAACCGCGGCAUAUAGUGGAUAAUUUUUUUUUUUUUAAAAAAAAAGAUUUAGGCAGCGGUUCUUUGGACAACCGCGGCAUAUUUCGAAACUUAUAUAUCGCGGUUGUAACAGCGGCCUAAAGUCUCUGACUUACUACCGUGGCUGAAUAUGCCGCGGUUCAUAAACCGCGACCUAUAGUGAAAAAUAACCGCGGUAAAAGUCUCUCGCUGCACUAGUGUAAGAAUACAUUGACUGAAUUUUCAGGGACUAAAUGACAGUCUACGAGAACCAUAUUUGAAGUUCAAUUGCAGGAAAAUAAUACUUAAACAAUAUUUUUUAUCAAUAUUUGAACAUUAUUUAUGUGUCAUUCUGAACUAAUGACAGAAUAACACAUUAAUGAUGUUCAAAUAUUGUCAAAAAAAGUCUUUUCUAAGUAUCAUUAUCCAUUUUCCAAUAUGAAAGAGAUAUUCAUGGUCAAUGACUCCCUCCCCGUUUGUGAAAUUCAAGAGGUUCCCUUGUCUUAUUUAAUAGUUUCUUAAGAUCAACUUGGCCCACUGAAAACAACUACACCAAUGCUGAAAACAAGUCACGGGAUAGCUGACGUGGGUCGACAAACAAACAAAAACAGAAUGACUCUGAAAUUGGACUUUUCUGCGUUACAGCAUUGCCAACACCCCAUUUCACCAAAAAAUUUUCUGCACUGCCAUUUCCCUUUCCUUAUAGCCCUUCCUUCUUCAUAUAUGCAUACCUUUUCUUCAUUUUUAUGACCGUUAAAAUUAACUUUUAAGACCUCUUACUGCCGUUCUUUUCAUCGGUGAAUUCUUUCAACAACUUCACCUAUAAUUUAUUCUUUUCAUCAGACCAUGUAAUAAUGCAGCUAUAUCAAAAUUUAAUCAUUGGCCAAUGAAGGUACAAUACCUUUUAUGUUAUCUUCCUAACCUCUACGUACGCAGAUUCACAUGUUCAAUUAGAAGCUUCAACCGCAGUUUCAAGCUUUUAGUGUUUUCAAUUUUCACAUUCCUGAUUUUACGUAUAGAAAAG
This 1202-nucleotide long non-coding RNA is filed under the name Vigna radiata. RNAcentral describes it as "long non-coding RNA (VRAD_LNC012353)". The record is from RNAcentral. Lineage: Eukaryota; Viridiplantae; Streptophyta; Magnoliopsida; Fabales; Fabaceae.